RNAcentral lists this ribosomal RNA (527 nucleotides) under Bacillus cereus. RNAcentral's name for it is "bacterial SSU rRNA". It matches the Rfam family "Bacterial small subunit ribosomal RNA", at positions 338 to 862 of the family's 1533-position model. The record is from RNAcentral. Lineage: Bacteria; Bacillati; Bacillota; Bacilli; Caryophanales; Bacillaceae.
UCUCGGGGGGGUCCCCCGAGGGAAUCUUCCGCAAUGGACGAAAGUCUGACGGAGCAACGCCGCGUGAGUGAUGAAGGCUUUCGGGUCGUAAAACUCUGUUGUUAGGGAAGAACAAGUGCUAGUUGAAUAAGCUGGCACCUUGACGGUACCUAACCAGAAAGCCACGGCUAACUACGUGCCAGCAGCCGCGGUAAUACGUAGGUGGCAAGCGUUAUCCGGAAUUAUUGGGCGUAAAGCGCGCGCAGGUGGUUUCUUAAGUCUGAUGUGAAAGCCCACGGCUCAACCGUGGAGGGUCAUUGGAAACUGGGAGACUUGAGUGCAGAAGAGGAAAGUGGAAUUCCAUGUGUAGCGGUGAAAUGCGUAGAGAUAUGGAGGAACACCAGUGGCGAAGGCGACUUUCUGGUCUGUAACUGACACUGAGGCGCGAAAGCGUGGGGAGCAAACAGGAUUAGAUACCCUGGUAGUCCACGCCGUAAACGAUGAGUGCUAAGUGUUAGAGGGUUUCCGCCUCGAUGCUGAUAAGGGCA